Non-coding RNA from Lolium perenne, 1844 nucleotides. NCBI's taxonomy places the organism in Eukaryota, Viridiplantae, Streptophyta, Magnoliopsida, Poales, Poaceae. The record is from RefSeq and is a predicted model, not a curated record.
CUCAAUUCCUCCCAAACAUCGCCGACCCUAUCCUCUCCUCAAAGCCUGGCGUCGUCCUCUCUUUCCCUGGCCGACCUGCCUGGCUGCCGCCCUUCUCUCCCUCCAGAGGAAGCCAUCAAGGCACCCUUCUCUCCCUCCCGAGGCGGUGGGCGGCCCGGAGGAGUUCGGCGCUCCCAUCUCCUUCCCAAGGAGGCUCAUGGCAUCGGCGCGCUCUUCUCCGGAGGAAGUGUGGCUAUAGGAGAAGCCGAUGGGAGGAGUUAGCCGCCCCAUCUCCUUCCCAAGAAGGCUAAUAGUACGGAGGAGGACAUCAACCAUUGGAUCCAUCUUCUCCUUCCCGAGCAGCUAAGAAAAGUGGGAGAGCGGCGUCCGUGACUGCUCCGGCUCCUCACCGCCACUGGACGGCGGCGGCCGUACCCGUCACUUCGACCUACUGGCUGUAAGCGGCAUGAAUGGUGGUGGAUGCCGGUCGCUGGCAGGGGCCAGGCCCGAUCUAGACCAAGAUGGUCCUCUGAACGUCCCCUGCUGCUGGACACCGGGCUGCCAUGCUCACCCAGUUUUCUGAGUUCUUCAAUGUCUUGAUUGCUAGCAUCUCAGCAACUGCUGCAGCCCCGAUGAUAUAACCACCUUCAGGAAGGUAUGAGCGCCUCCAGGUUGCUUACAUGGUUGGCGUUGGGACGACCAUCAAAAGUAUGUUAGGAUCCCUUGCUAUUGUGUGGGACUGAAAAGGUUCUGGUGGUUACUUUUCAGAAAAGUAGUGAAAAUUAUUCAUUUGUUUUAAUCUCCUCUAAGUGAUUGUGCAGCUAUUGCAUCUGCAGUUCUAAACUAUGAAUCUACUCAGAUGCCCAUUAUGCCUUAAUUAAGCAUCUAUUUUUAGGCUAAUCAAGCUCACAAUUGUAUGCACAUCGAUGGCCGUCUGAAGCAGAUCAAAUUGCAUCCAUUGUCAAUUAAGCUUUCGAGUGGACAUACUCUAGGGGAGCUUCCAAGCCUUCCGUUGAAGGAUCAUGAGUCGAGAAUCCAGAUACAGUUCCCAUAUAUAUUUUGCGUCGUGCACUAAAGUCGUGUCACGUAUCGCACGGACUGACAGUGUGCGACAAGCCAUGCUAUACAGGAAGAGAGAGAGAGAAUUGUUCAUAAUCUUUUCUUGGCCUUCUUGCAGCACUCGGGCAACUUUGCCGUACCACAAGAACGGCUGACAGUAUUCCCCUCAUCCGCUUCAUUAUCUAGAUUUGUUUAGAGCACUUCUGCAGUCCUGAGGCUUUUCAUAUGUUUGCUCACUGAUUUUAUUAAAUAUUUGUUUUGCAUGUAAGGACUGAAGUUUCAGGCAAACCAGAGAGCAGAGGAACAGUAUGCAAGGUCAAGAUGAGGUCAAUUCUAGGGUGAAGCUAGCUGAUGAAGCUGUGGGCAAGGAUUUGUUUUCUGUUGGCUCACAAUAGGUCGAAGACCAUAUUCAGAUGGUUAGCUAAGAAGAUCUACUGUUCAUGGUGAUUGCUACUCGGUUCAGAAGUUAUACACAGAAGCUCGAAAGCUAAAGUCCAUGAGCGUAAUCAGUUUGGAGAAGAUGGAAGAUAAUGCCGCCGAAAUCACUCUCCAAUGCCAAUUUUUAUUUAGUUUUCCUUCAUAUAUGUGACCAGAAGUGGCGUUGUGAUGAGGUCAAUAACUAAGCUAAAAAGAGAAGAAAAAUCCGGAGAUAGAUGACCAAGUGGAGAGUUGAAUGCAGACUAUAAUUUGUAUCUUUGUAAGAGAUUUACAUGUAUGUAAUAUAGUUGAUCUACAUGUGACCUUCACAUACAAGUAGUACCGCUAUGCUCUAAAAUGAAUUCCUACUAAAUAGCUAUGUAUAAUUA